This 400-nucleotide ribosomal RNA is filed under the name uncultured bacterium. RNAcentral's name for it is "bacterial SSU rRNA". It matches the Rfam family "Bacterial small subunit ribosomal RNA", at positions 29 to 447 of the family's 1533-position model. The record is from RNAcentral.
AACGAACGCUGGCGGCAGGCCUAACACAUGCAAGUCGAGCGCGCCCUUCGGGGUGAGCGGCGGACGGGUUAGUAACGCGUGGGAACGUGCCCUUUGGUACAGAAUAGCCUCUGGAAACGGAGAGUAAUACCGUAUGAGCCCUUCGGGGGAAAGAUUUAUCGCCAAAGGAUCGGCCCGCGUUAGAUUAGGUAGUUGGUGGGGUAAUGGCCUACCAAGCCUACGAUCUAUAGCUGGUUUUAGAGGAUGAUCAGCAACACUGGGACUGAGACACGGCCCAGACUCCGUACGGGAGCAGCAGGUGGGGAAUCUUGGACAAGUGGGGGACAACCCUGACUCCAGCCAUCGCCGCGUGAGUGAUGGAACGCCCGUAGGGUACGUAAAGCUUCUUUCGCCUGUGAAG